This 253-nucleotide ribosomal RNA is filed under the name uncultured bacterium. Its description in RNAcentral is "partial 16S ribosomal RNA". It matches the Rfam family "Bacterial small subunit ribosomal RNA", at positions 524 to 776 of the family's 1533-position model. The record is from RNAcentral.
UACGGAGGGUGCAAGCGUUAAUCGGAAUUACUGGGUGUAAAGCGCACGCAGGCGGCUUGUUAAGUCGGAUGUGAAAGCCCUGGGCUCAACCUGGGAAUUGCAUUCGAUACUGGCAAGCUAGAGUAUGUGAGAGGGGGGUAGAAUUUCAAGUGUAGCGGUGAAAUGCGUAGAGAUUUGGAGGAAUACCAGUGGCGAAGGCGGCCCCCUGGCACACUACUGAUGCUCAGGUGCGAAAGCGUGGGGAGCAAACAGG